GGUGGAGGUUGUUGUUGCCUUUUUUUCUUUUUAAUGAAUGGAGGGCGGUGGCGACUGCUGCAGCUGGCUCAGCUGCGCGGGCUGUGCCCCCUCCCAGCCUGCGAGAGGAGGAAGCUAGUUGAGGACCUGCAUCACCAAAAUCAAGGAGUAAAUCGAGAGCAAACAACAUGGGAAUAACUGCAUGAAGCUCAGCCUGCUGCUCAGCAGAGUUUAGGAAGCCAUAUACUGAACCCUUUUCCACAGCCUGGGGAAGUUGAGUCUGG
Nyctereutes procyonoides (raccoon dog) is the source of this 263-nucleotide long non-coding RNA. RefSeq lists it as uncharacterized. NCBI's taxonomy places the organism in Eukaryota, Metazoa, Chordata, Mammalia, Carnivora, Canidae. The record is from RefSeq and is a predicted model, not a curated record. The transcript has 3 exons.